Junco hyemalis (dark-eyed junco) is the source of this 1773-nucleotide long non-coding RNA. NCBI's taxonomy places the organism in Eukaryota, Metazoa, Chordata, Aves, Passeriformes, Passerellidae. The record is from Ensembl.
AUGGAUUCCCACAGCACUGGGGAUGUAUCCCAGCAGCACUGGGAGUGUAUUCCUGUACCAGUGGGAAUGGAUUCCUGCAGCACUGGGAAUUUAUUCCAAUAUCACUGGGAAUUUAUUCCCACAGCAUUGGGAAUUUAUUCCAGUACCACUGGGAAUGUGUUCCUGCACCACUGGGGAUGUAUUCCAGUUCUACUGGGAAUGAAUUCCCACAGCACUGGGAGUGUAUUCCAGCAGCACUGGGAAUUUAUUCCCACAGCAUUGGGAUUGCAGCCCAGUACCACUGGGAAUGUAUUCCAGUUCCACUGGGAAUUUAUUCCAGUACUACUGGGAAUGUAUUCCAAUAUCACUGGGAAUUUAUUCCCACAGCAUUGGGAAUGUAUCCCUGCACCACUGGGAAUUUAUUCCAGUACUACUGGGAAUGUGUUCCUGCACCUGUGGGAAUUAAUUCCCCCAGCACUGGGAAUGUAUUCCUGUCCCAUUGGGAAUGUAUUCCAGCAGCACUGGGAAUGUGUUCCAAUAUCACUGGGAAUUUAUUCCCACAGCAUUGGGAAUGUGUCCCAGUACCACCAGUGGGAAUGUAUCCCAGUACCAAUGGGAAUUUAUUCCAGCAUCCCUGGGAAUUUAUUCCAGCAUCCCUGGGAAUGUGUCCCAGCAGCACCAGGAAUGUGUCCCAGCACUUCCACGCUGCCUCUCCACCCCCACUCCUCAGUGGCACCUUGGGAUGACGCACUGGGGGCUGGAGUUGCCCCUCCCGGUGCCCAUUUCGUGCCCGCCCAGCCCCAGCCCCGGGCCGGGGUGGCACUGGGGCUGUCCCCAGGGGCUGUGUCCCCUCUGUCACCGCUCACCAGUGCAGGCUCCUGCCAGGGGAGGGGGAGGCUGCAGCUCUCACGUCCCCGUGGAAUGAUGUACAAUGACUUGAAGCUCUGUAUUCCUUUCCUCUGGAAGUAAAUGGGAGAAAAUCCUCGGUGUUUUCUGCCUGUGUGUGACCAAAGGGGAUGGGAGGGACCCGGGGGCCUCCUGUGCUUUGUCCCUGCUCCAGCUGCUGAUCCAGCUGUGCUGGCAUCCAGGGAUAGCCCUGGGCUGCUUUAUCCAAACCCAAACUGAGCACCUGCUCCACCAGACUGACCUGGGUGUAAAAACCCCAUUAUUAAAUAUUACCACAUUUAAUAAUUUGUCUGUUUUUCCUGAGCAGGCUCUGCUGCUUUUUGGGUGGCACUGCCUUCAUUCCUGAUGUCAUUGUGGACACAAUUCCUGCUUUUCCUUAUCUUUCCCUUUCUUUUUUAUCUCAAACCUGCACUUUGAAGGCUCACAGUCACAACCCUUUGCCCAUGGAGAAAAGGAAAUCAGUUCUGAUGCACCCCUUGCUUUUGUACCAGACAAUUCCUAAAGCUGAUUUUGGGGCAGUUUUUCACCCAGCAUCUUGUUCUAAUUGUCAUUAAGCAGCCCAGACUGGGAGCCUGGUACUGGUUUUCCCUCUGCCUGAAGAAAAUCAAUGUAAAUUGAGUGGCCUGCAGGAUAAAAACCCAAAUUCCCCUCUGAAACCACAAUGCCUAAACCAGGAAUCCCCAGGCUGUUGAUGCUGUUUCCUCUGGCUGAGGUUUGAUCUGAUCCCUGGAGAGCUCCCUGGAUGUUUUACAGGGCUCAGGUCUCACCUACAACCUGGAUUUUUGUUUUUCAAGUCUGACUCCCCCUCCUUCCUCCCCUGAUCUCAGAACUUGUCCCUUCCCUGGAAAUUCCUGCAGGAAUAAACACUCCCCAUAAUCCUGGGAUGCA